CCUACGGGUGGCAGCAGUGAGGAAUAUUGGUCAAUGGACGAGAGUCUGGACCAGCCAAGUAGCGUGAAGGAUGACUGCCCUAUGGGUUGUAAACCUCUUUUAUAAAGGAAUAAAACGAGGCACGUGUGCCUGUUUGUAUGUACCUUAUGAAUAAGGAUCGGCUAACUCCGUGCCAGCAGCCGCGGUAAUACGGAGGAUCCGAGCGUUAUCCGGAUUUAUUGGGUUUAAAGGGAGCGUAGAUGGGUUGUUAAGUCAGGUGUGAAAUUUUGGGGCUCAACCGUAGAAAUGCAGUUGAUACUGGCAGUCUUGAGUACAGUUGAGGCAGGCGGAAUUCGUGGUGUAGCGGUGAAAUGCAUAGAUAUCACGAAGAACUCCGAUUGCGAAGGCAGCUUACUAGACUGCCACUGACGUUGAGGCUCGAAGGUGUGGGUAUCAAACAGGAGUAGAUACCCGAGUAGUC
This 460-nucleotide ribosomal RNA is filed under the name uncultured bacterium. RNAcentral's name for it is "partial 16S ribosomal RNA". It matches the Rfam family "Bacterial small subunit ribosomal RNA", at positions 338 to 795 of the family's 1533-position model. The record is from RNAcentral.